RNAcentral lists this ribosomal RNA (505 nucleotides) under uncultured bacterium. RNAcentral's name for it is "partial 16S ribosomal RNA". It matches the Rfam family "Bacterial small subunit ribosomal RNA", at positions 29 to 523 of the family's 1533-position model. The record is from RNAcentral.
AGUGAACGCUGGCGGUAGGCCUAACACAUGCAAGUCGAACGGCAGCACAGAGGAGCUUGCUCCUUGGGUGGCGAGUGGCGGACGGGUGAGGAAUACAUCGGAAUCUACUCUGUCGUGGGGGAUAACGUAGGGAAACUUACGCUAAUACCGCAUACGACCUACGGGUGAAAGCAGGGGAUCUUCGGACCUUGCGCGAUUGAAUGAGCCGAUGUCGGAUUAGCUAGUUGGCGGGGUAAAGGCCCACCAAGGCGACGAUCCGUAGCUGGUCUGAGAGGAUGAGCAGCCACACUGGAACUGAGACACGGUCCAGACUCCUACGGGAGGCAGCAGUGGGAAUAUUGGACAAUGGGCGCAAGCCUGAUCCAGCCAUACCGCGUGGGUGAAGAAGGCCUUCGGGUUGUAAAGCCCUUUUGUUGGGAAAGAAAUCCGUCUGGUUAAUACCCGGGUGGGAUGACGGUACCCAAAGAAUAAGCACCGGCUAACUUCGUGCCAGCCGCCGCGGUAA